GAUCCUGGCUCAGAUUGAACGCUGGCGGCAGGCCUAACACAUGCAAGUCGAACGGUAACAGGAAACAGCUUGCUGUUUCGCUGACGAGUGGCGGACGGGUGAUAAUGUCUGGGAAACUGCCUGAUGGAGGGGGAUAACUACUGGAAACGGUAGCUAAUACCGCAUAACGUCGCAAGACCAAAGAGGGGGACCUUCGGGCCUCUUGCCAUCGGAUGUGCCCACGAUGGGAUUAGCUAGUAGGUGGGGUAACGG
Molecule: ribosomal RNA, 252 nt
Filed under: uncultured bacterium
Lineage: Bacteria
Description: partial 16S ribosomal RNA
Rfam family: Bacterial small subunit ribosomal RNA
Source: RNAcentral